GUCAGGAUGGCCGAGCGGUCUAAGGCGCCAGACUCAAGGUUAACCUUGCCUACCCAGUAGGCUUUGCGAGAAGUUCUGGUCCUCUUCUGAGGGCGUGGGUUCGAAUCCCACUUCUGACA
Molecule: transfer RNA, 119 nt
Filed under: Zootermopsis nevadensis
Lineage: Eukaryota; Metazoa; Arthropoda; Insecta; Blattodea; Termopsidae
Rfam family: tRNA
About the family: Transfer RNA (tRNA) molecules are approximately 80 nucleotides in length.
Source: Rfam by way of RNAcentral